AAAGUGCCUUAGACUCCAGUGUGGCUGGAUUCCUGCCAUAAGGACAGAUUUCCCAGUGUCUGCGAGAGAUUAAGCCUGGGAGCGUAUCCCAGUUUUUGUCAGUCCUGUCACCACUGCGUGUGCUCAGGGAUCGGGGCCCUUUGCUCAGCAGGAGCCCCCCAGCAGCAGGCGAGCCCGUCGCGGGGCAGCACCCGAGCAAACCCCAGGAUGUGGAGCUGGGGCACUGGGCUGCUGCGGGCUGGUUUGGUGGCAAAGCUGUGCGGUGCUUUGGAGGAACUUCCUCUUCCCCAGGAGUCCGAUAACGUGGGGUUUCUGCCCAUCCGCUGAGCCGCUGUCCGUCUCUGAGCAGGCUGGAAGGAGGGGUUUGCCGGCGAGGAAUUACGUUCUGUUACUGGAAGCAAGUGCUGCUCAGCAAAGCGCCGUGAGGCAGAACUGAGGAACCUGCUGGAUGGUAGGGGAAAAAAAUGCAUUGGAUUCUUUGAAUGCUGCUAAAUGGAAACCGUGCCCACACCAUUACGAGUUGCAGCAGCAGGAGGUGGCACAGCCCUCCUGCUGGUCCUGCAGAACGCUCUGCCACCAGGAGCCAACGAGAGGUGGGUGCCCCCCGGGCGCUUCUGCUCCCAGCGCUUUGCGUUUAUUCGUGUGGCUCCAAGCAGCGGGUGCGGGAGCGCAGCCCCUGCCCGUGCGCGGCUUGCUGGCUCCCUGCCGCGCCUCUGGAGCCAGCUGCAGCGGCCGAGCUGCUGAGCACAACGGUGCAGCCAGCCAGGCCUGCAGGCACAGCCCUCAGCUUGGGCCUGCAUCGCAAGGGCUCUUUUCCCUGCUCAUCAGCCAGGUGGUGUUCCCCAGCUGAGGCCAGUCCUGGCUCUCCGGGAGCGCUGUGCAGCACCCAGCAAUGGGGUGAUCGCUGCUUGUGCUCUCGGAGAUGAGAAAGGGCCUGAGCAAGGCACGCAGCCUCGACUCAGAAAGGCUGCAGCCAUUCACAGGCUGAAGGUAAGGGAGCGUGAAGAAAGAUAAGGAGGUAAAAUGAGAAUAAAAUGAAGGUGGUAGACGCA
This 1052-nucleotide long non-coding RNA is filed under the name Anser brachyrhynchus (Pink-footed goose). RNAcentral's name for it is "lncRNA (ENSABRG00000013514.1)". The record is from RNAcentral. Lineage: Eukaryota; Metazoa; Chordata; Aves; Anseriformes; Anatidae.